GGCAGGCUCAGCGCGGGCGCAGCGUUUCGGCCGCUCCCGCCCGCGCUUUGCGGUGGUGCCGGGCCCGCGGCGAGGGUGUGCAGGCAUGUGUAAUGCAGCAGAACGCUGGCCGCGUUUCUUGACUAAAUAGAUGUACCCUGGCUGUAUUUGGCAGAACUAACUGCCAGAGAGAGCUCUUUACGGGAAAAAUAAGUACCGGCCUCACCACUAAUGUUCUCAGGGUUACUAAUUACUAUUAAUUUUGUGCUCUUUUACAGGGAGCAGUCCAUCUGAGCAGCCCUGUCUACACGGCUCGGAGUUCAGGGUGGCCACUGUGGUCCCAGUUCUCCCAGGCUCGCUUCCCGGGACGUUCUCCCGGCGUGUGCUCACUGCCGGCUGAUGGAUGCCCUGGCACGAGCAGCGCCCAGGCGCCCGAUGCACGCGGCCACCGUCCCAGCAUGGCCCGGCCGCCGCAGUGUCUGCAGCCAGCGGCACGCAGAGCUGUGCCCGUCGGUCCAUCCGUCCACCGUUGACUCCCUGACCUCGAUGAGCAGCGUUUGCAACCCGGUUUCCAGCCACGUGAGGCAUCGCCGCUCCGCCGCCGGCUCGGCUCGGCUCGGCUCGGCGACACAGGCCGACGGGGAGGGCCCCGAGCCCCGUCUUGCAGCGGCCGCCUCGGAGGACGUGAACCCCGGCCGCUCCCAGGCGGGACCCCCGGGAUCCCCUUUCUUCGGAGAAGGUGCCUUUGCUGAUGGGCCCAGGGGAGAAAAAAUUACCUGUUCCGUGUGUGUGAGAGUUUUUUUUUUUUUUUACCUUUUAUUAUUUAAAUUGAUACGUUUCAUUACUAGGGAGAAAAAUAAAAUAUUCCUUUGAUACACAAAAUCAAAUUGAUAUUUAGCCUCUGCUUACUUUUUUAUGCAUGGCUCCUUUUUACCACAUGGUAGUGACAGAUUGUUUGAGCUGGAAGGAAAAGCCAUUCAAAGCUAAUUAAGCAGCCAUUCCAAGCAGUAUUUGCAAGCGGGAGGCUGAAAAGCAGAGGCAUUUGUCAGCGCUCCGACCCCGCGUGGCUUUGAUUGACAGCUCCCUCUCCGGAGUGGC
Molecule: long non-coding RNA, 1077 nt
Filed under: Apteryx owenii (little spotted kiwi)
Lineage: Eukaryota; Metazoa; Chordata; Aves; Apterygiformes; Apterygidae
Description: lncRNA (ENSAOWG00000007231.1)
Source: RNAcentral